Molecule: transfer RNA, 69 nt
Filed under: Marmota monax (woodchuck)
Lineage: Eukaryota; Metazoa; Chordata; Mammalia; Rodentia; Sciuridae
Rfam family: tRNA
About the family: Transfer RNA (tRNA) molecules are approximately 80 nucleotides in length.
Source: Rfam by way of RNAcentral
GGAGUUGUGGCUCAGCGGUAGAGUGCUCACCUAGCAUGUGUGAGGUGCUGGGUUAGAUCCUCAGCACCA